Molecule: transfer RNA, 74 nt
Filed under: candidate division NC10 bacterium CSP1-5
Lineage: Bacteria; Methylomirabilota (SeqCode)
Description: tRNA-Lys
Rfam family: tRNA
About the family: Transfer RNA (tRNA) molecules are approximately 80 nucleotides in length. Their secondary structure includes four short double-helical elements and three loops (D, anti-codon, and T loops).
Source: RNAcentral
GGGCCGCUAGCUCAGCCUGGUAGAGCAGCUGACUCUUAAUCAGCGGGUCCAAGGUUCAAGUCCUUGGCGGCCCA